AUUUGGUCGUAGACCCGAAACCAGGUGAUCUACCCUUGGUCAGGUUGAAGUUCAGGUAACACUGAAUGGAGGACCGAACCGACUUACGUUGAAAAGUGAGCGGAUGAACUGAGGGUAGCGGAGAAAUUCCAAUCGAACCUGGAGAUAGCUGGUUCUCUCCGAAAUAGCUUUAGGGCUAGCCUCAAGUGAUGAUUAUUGGAGGUAGAGCACUGUUUGGACGAGGGGCCCCUCUCGGGUUACCGAAUUCAGACAAACUCCGAAUGCCAAUUAAUUUAACUUGGGAGUCAGAACAUGGGUGAUAAGGUCCGUGUUCGAAAGGGAAACAGCCCAGACCACCAGCUAAGGUCCCAAAAUAUAUGUUAAGUGGAAAAGGAUGUGGCGUUGCCCAGACAACUAGGAUGUUGGCUUAGAAGCAGCCAUCAUUUAAAGAGUGCGUAAUAGCUCACUAGUCGAGUGACACUGCGCCGAAAAUGUACCGGGGCUAAACAUAUUACCGAAGCUGUGGAUUGUCCUUUGGACAAUGGUAGGAGAGCGUUCUAAGGGCGUUGAAGCAUGAUCGUAAGGAC
Molecule: ribosomal RNA, 566 nt
Filed under: Staphylococcus aureus
Lineage: Bacteria; Bacillati; Bacillota; Bacilli; Caryophanales; Staphylococcaceae
Description: partial 23S ribosomal RNA
Rfam family: Bacterial large subunit ribosomal RNA
Source: RNAcentral